RNAcentral lists this ribosomal RNA (660 nucleotides) under Sulfitobacter sp. RNAcentral describes it as "bacterial SSU rRNA". It matches the Rfam family "Bacterial small subunit ribosomal RNA", at positions 56 to 762 of the family's 1533-position model. Lineage: Bacteria; Pseudomonadati; Pseudomonadota; Alphaproteobacteria; Rhodobacterales; Roseobacteraceae. The record is from RNAcentral.
UGCAAGUCGAGCGAGACCUUCGGGUCUAGCGGCGGACGGGUUAGUAACGCGUGGGAACGUGCCCUUCUCUGCGGAAUAGCCACUGGAAACGGUGAGUAAUACCGCAUACGCCCUUCGGGGGAAAGAUUUAUCGGAGAAGGAUCGGCCCGCGUUAGAUUAGAUAGUUGGUGGGGUAACGGCCUACCAAGUCUACGAUCUAUAGCUGGUUUUAGAGGAUGAUCAGCAACACUGGGACUGAGACACGGCCCAGACUCCUACGGGAGGCAGCAGUGGGGAAUCUUAGACAAUGGGCGCAAGCCUGAUCUAGCCAUGCCGCGUGUGUGAUGAAGGUCUUAGGAUCGUAAAGCACUUUCGCCAGGGAUGAUAAUGACAGUACCUGGUAAAGAAACCCCGGCUAACUCCGUGCCAGCAGCCGCGGUAAUACGGAGGGGGUUAGCGUUGUUCGGAAUUACUGGGCGUAAAGCGCGCGUAGGCGGAUUGGAAAGUUGGGGGUGAAAUCCCGGGGCUCAACCCCGGAACUGCCUCCAAAACUAUCAGUCUAGAGUUCGAGAGAGGUGAGUGGAAUUCCAAGUGUAGAGGUGAAAUUCGUAGAUAUUUGGAGGAACACCAGUGGCGAAGGCGGCUCACUGGCUCGAUACUGACGCUGAGGUGCGAAAGUGU